RNAcentral lists this ribosomal RNA (303 nucleotides) under uncultured bacterium. Its description in RNAcentral is "partial 16S ribosomal RNA". It matches the Rfam family "Bacterial small subunit ribosomal RNA", at positions 507 to 808 of the family's 1533-position model. The record is from RNAcentral.
AGCAGUCGCCGCGGGAAUACGAAGGGUGCAAGCGUUACUCGGAAUUACUGGGCGUAAAGCGUGCGUAGGUGGUGGUUUAAGUCCGUUGUGAAAGCCCUGGGCUCAACCUGGGAAUUGCAGUGGAUACUGGGUCACUAGAGUGUGGUAGAGGAUAGUGGAAUUUCCGGUGUAGCAGUGAAAUGCGUAGAGAUCGGAAGGAACAUCUGUGGCGAAGGCGACUAUCUGGGCCAACACUGACACUGAGGCACGAAAGCGUGGGGAGCAAACAGGAUUAGAUACCCCCGUGUCCCUGUCUCUUAUACA